Molecule: ribosomal RNA, 263 nt
Filed under: uncultured bacterium
Lineage: Bacteria
Description: partial 16S ribosomal RNA
Rfam family: Bacterial small subunit ribosomal RNA
Source: RNAcentral
GUCCUAGCUGUAAACGUUGGGCACUAGGUGUGGCGGACUCAUUGACGUCUGCCGUGCCGCAGCUAACGCAUUAAGUGCCCCGCCUGGGGAGUACGGUCGCAAGGCUAAAACUCAAAGGAAUUGACGGGAGCCCGCACAAGCGGCGGAGCAUGCGGCUUAAUUCGAUGCAACCCGAAGAACCUUACCUGGGCUUGACAUCAUGGGAAAUCCCGCAGAGAUGCGGAGUGCGAAAGCGCCCAUGACAGGUGGUGCAUGGCUGUCGU